AGAUUCUCUUUUGCAGCAGAUGUUUAUAGUUCGGUUUUUGGGAUCAAUGGCAGUUAAAACAGACAGCACUACUGAAGUGAUUUAUGAAGCGAUGAGACAAGUAUUGGCUGCUCGGGCUAUUCAUAACAUCUUCCGCAUGACAGAAUCCCAUCUGAUGGUCACCAGUCAAUCUUUGAGGUUGAUAGAUCCACAGACUCAAGUAUCAAGGGCCAAUUUUGAACUUACCAGUGUCACACAAUUUGCUGCUCAUCAAGAAAACAAGAGACUGGUUGGUUUUGUCAUCCGUGUUCCUGAAUCCACUGGAGAAGAAUCUCUGAGUACAUACAUUUUUGAAAGCAACUCAGAAGGCGAAAAGGUCUCUUUUUCAUGUGAAGAUCCCAUAAUAUCCCAGUCCAAACAAGUCCAUUUUAAAAGAGUUUUCUGGCAUU
Molecule: small RNA, 428 nt
Filed under: Pan troglodytes (chimpanzee)
Lineage: Eukaryota; Metazoa; Chordata; Mammalia; Primates; Hominidae
Description: retained intron
Source: RNAcentral